RNAcentral lists this ribosomal RNA (533 nucleotides) under uncultured bacterium. RNAcentral describes it as "bacterial SSU rRNA". It matches the Rfam family "Bacterial small subunit ribosomal RNA", at positions 28 to 563 of the family's 1533-position model. The record is from RNAcentral.
GAUGAACGCUAGCGGCAGGCUUAACACAUGCAAGUCGAGGGGUAGUUAUCUUCGGAUAAUGAGACCGGCGCACGGGUGCGUAACGCGUAUACAAUCUACCUUUUACAGAGGGAUAGCCCAGAGAAAUUUGGAUUAAUACCUCAUAGUAUUUUUGAAUGGCAUCAUUUGAUUAUUAAAGUUCCAACGGUAAAAGAUGAGUAUGCGUCCCAUUAGCUAGAUGGUAAGGUAACGGCUUACCAUGGCAACGAUGGGUAGGGGUCCUGAGAGGGAGAUCCCCCACACUGGUACUGAGACACGGACCAGACUCCUACGGGAGGCAGCAGUGAGGAAUAUUGGACAAUGGGCGCAAGCCUGAUCCAGCCAUGCCGCGUGCAGGAAGAAGGUCCUAUGGAUUGUAAACUGCUUUUAUACAGGAAGAAACACCUCUACGUGUAGAGACUUGACGGUACUGUAUGAAUAAGGACCGGCUAACUCCGUGCCAGCAGCCGCGGUAAUACGGAGGGUCCAAGCGUUAUCCGGAAUCAUGGGUUUAA